UCAAAAAAAGAAGGAGGUUACUCAAUUCGACCGUAUAUAUAUAUAUUUUUUUUAUGUAUGUUCGGAGAUAACUUCUUCGUUUAUGAACCGAUUUUGAUAAUUCUUUUUUUUUUUUUGGAAAGGAGAUAUUCAUAGUUUGGUACCAUGAUAAGGAAACCAGGAUCUGAUGAUGGGAUCCCAGAGAAAUUGAGGGAAACUUUCAAAAAUCGUAAGGAUGACUAGUAAAUUUAAUCAUGUUUUCAUUAGGUACUAUAAAGCACUACUAUUUAAUAAAGGUCUGGAGUCGAUCUGAUGAUGGAGAAGAGAGAUAGUCGAGGGAACUCUUCAACAAUUUAUAGCAAUUACCUGCUUUUUGAACUUAAUUCGUUUCUAUUGAUGAGAACUUUGCACCUGUAUGAGUUAUAAGUGCCAUUACAGUCUGAUAAUGGAGACAAAAUUAGUCGAGGGAACUCUUUAACGAUUUAUAGCAAUUACCUGCUGUUUGAACUUAAUCCGUUUCUAUUGAUGA
RNAcentral lists this unclassified non-coding RNA (508 nucleotides) under Melitaea cinxia (Glanville fritillary). RNAcentral's name for it is "misc RNA ENSMCXG00005011760.1". The record is from RNAcentral. Lineage: Eukaryota; Metazoa; Arthropoda; Insecta; Lepidoptera; Nymphalidae.